UGGGGAAUUUUGGACAAUGGGGGAAACCCUGAUCCAGCCAUCCCGCGUGUGCGAUGAAGGCCUUCGGGUUGUAAAGCACUUUUGGCAGGAAAGAAACGUCAUGGGUUAAUACCCCGUGAAACUGACGGUACCUGCUGAAUAAGCACCGGCUAACUACGUGCCAGCAGCCGCGGUAAUACGUAGGGUGCAAGCGUUAAUCGGAAUUACUGGGCGUAAAGCGUGCGCAGGCGGUUCGGAAAGAAAGAUGUGAAAUCCCAGAGCUCAACUUUGGAACUGCAUUUUUAACUACCGGGCUAGAGUGUGUCAGAGGGAGGUGGAAUUCCGCGUGUAGCAGUGAAAUGCGUAGAUAUGCGGAGGAACACCGAUGGCGAAGGCAGCCUCCUGGGAUAACACUGACGCUCAUGCACGAAAGCGUGGGGAGCAAACAGG
This 429-nucleotide ribosomal RNA is filed under the name Acidobacteriota bacterium. RNAcentral's name for it is "Acidobacteria bacterium partial 16S ribosomal RNA". It matches the Rfam family "Bacterial small subunit ribosomal RNA", at positions 355 to 776 of the family's 1533-position model. The record is from RNAcentral. Lineage: Bacteria; Pseudomonadati; Acidobacteriota.